AUUGAACGCUGGCGGAAUGCUUUACACAUGCAAGUCGAGCGGCAGCGCGGCCUUCGGGCUGGCGGCGAGCGGCGAACGGGUGAGUAAUGCAUCGGAACAUGCCCAGUCGUGGGGGAUAACACUUCGAAAGAAGUGCUAAUACCGCAUACGUCCUGAGGGGGAAAGCGGGGGAUCGCAAGACCUCGCGCGAUUGGAGUGGCCGAUGUCAGAUUAGCUAGUUGGUGGGGUAAAGGCCUACCAAGGCGACGAUCUGUAGCUGGUCUGAGAGGAUGAUCAGCCACACUGGGACUGAGACACGGCCCAGACUCCUACGGGAGGCAGCAGUGGGGAAUUUUGGACAAUGGGGGUAACCCUGAUCCAGCCAUUCCGCGUGAGUGAAGAAGGCCUUCGGGUUGUAAAGCUCUUUCGGCAGGAACGAAACGGUGGGCUCUAACAUAGUCCGCUAAUGACGGUACCUGAAGAAGAAGCACCGGCUAACUACGUG
This 484-nucleotide ribosomal RNA is filed under the name uncultured bacterium. RNAcentral's name for it is "partial 16S ribosomal RNA". It matches the Rfam family "Bacterial small subunit ribosomal RNA", at positions 30 to 507 of the family's 1533-position model. The record is from RNAcentral.